RNAcentral lists this ribosomal RNA (48 nucleotides) under Aiphanes minima. RNAcentral describes it as "partial 26S ribosomal RNA". Lineage: Eukaryota; Viridiplantae; Streptophyta; Magnoliopsida; Arecales; Arecaceae. The record is from RNAcentral.
GCGACCUCAGGUCAGGCGGGGCCACCCGCUAAUUAAGCAAAAGGGCAA